AUGAACCAAAAUUACU
This 16-nucleotide small RNA is filed under the name Arabidopsis thaliana (thale cress). RNAcentral's name for it is "ATSL246700". Lineage: Eukaryota; Viridiplantae; Streptophyta; Magnoliopsida; Brassicales; Brassicaceae. The record is from RNAcentral.